Molecule: ribosomal RNA, 691 nt
Filed under: uncultured bacterium
Lineage: Bacteria
Description: bacterial SSU rRNA
Rfam family: Bacterial small subunit ribosomal RNA
Source: RNAcentral
GGGUGAGUAACGCGUGAGCAACCUGCCCAUAAGAGGGGGAUAACAGCUGGAAACGGCUGCUAAUACCGCAUAAGACCACAUUGCCACAUGGCAGAGGGGUCAAAGAUUUAUCGCUUAUGGAUGGGCUCGCGUCUGAUUAGCUAGUUGGUAGGGUAACGGCCUACCAAGGCGACGAUCAGUAGCCGACCUGAGAGGGUGAUCGGCCACACUGGAACUGAGACACGGUCCAGACUCCUACGGGAGGCAGCAGUGGGGAAUAUUGGGCAAUGGGGGAAACCCUGACCCAGCAACGCCGCGUGAGGGAAGAAGGCUUUCGAGUUGUAAACCUCUGUCCUAUGGGAAGAAGAAAGUGACUGUACCAUAGGAGGAAGCUCCGGCUAACUACGUGCCAGCAGCCGCGGUAAUACGUAGGGAGCAAGCGUUGUCCGGAAUUACUGGGCGUAAAGGGUGCGUAGGCGGCGCAGUUAGUCAGAAGUGAAAUAUCGGGGCUUAACCCCGGGGCUGCUUCUGAUACUGCUGUGCUCGAGUGCAGGAGAGGUAAGUGGAAUUCCUAGUGUAGCGGUGAAAUGCGUAGAUAUUAGGAGGAACACCAGUGGCGAAGGCGACUUACUGGACUGUAACUGACGCUGAGGCACGAAAGCGUGGGUAGCAAACAGGAUUAGAUACCCUGGUAGUCCACGCUGUAAACGAU